Molecule: ribosomal RNA, 710 nt
Filed under: Microbacterium sp.
Lineage: Bacteria; Bacillati; Actinomycetota; Actinomycetes; Micrococcales; Microbacteriaceae
Description: bacterial SSU rRNA
Rfam family: Bacterial small subunit ribosomal RNA
Source: RNAcentral
GCUCCAGCUUGCUGGAGUGGAUCAGUGGCGAACGGGUGAGUAACACGUGAGCAACCUGCCCCGGACUCUGGGAUAAGCGCUGGAAACGGCGUCUAAUACCGGAUACGCACCAGAAUCGCAUGGUUACUGGUGGGAAAGAUUUUUUGGUUCGGGAUGGGCUCGCGGCCUAUCAGCUUGUUGGUGAGGUAACGGCUCACCAAGGCGUCGACGGGUAGCCGGCCUGAGAGGGUGACCGGCCACACUGGGACUGAGACACGGCCCAGACUCCUACGGGAGGCAGCAGUGGGGAAUAUUGCACAAUGGGCGGAAGCCUGAUGCAGCAACGCCGCGUGAGGGACGACGGCCUUCGGGUUGUAAACCUCUUUUAGCAGGGAAGAAGCGAAAGUGACGGUACCUGCAGAAAAAGCGCCGGCUAACUACGUGCCAGCAGCCGCGGUAAUACGUAGGGCGCAAGCGUUAUCCGGAAUUAUUGGGCGUAAAGAGCUCGUAGGCGGUCUGUCGCGUCUGCUGUGAAAACCCGAGGCUCAACCUCGGGCCUGCAGUGGGUACGGGCAGACUAGAGUGCGGUAGGGGAGAUUGGAAUUCCUGGUGUAGCGGUGGAAUGCGCAGAUAUCAGGAGGAACACCGAUGGCGAAGGCAGAUCUCUGGGCCGUAACUGACGCUGAGGAGCGAAAGGGUGGGGAGCAAACAGGCUUAGAUACCCUGGUAGU